Molecule: transfer RNA, 49 nt
Filed under: Flustrellidra hispida
Lineage: Eukaryota; Metazoa; Bryozoa; Gymnolaemata; Ctenostomatida; Flustrellidridae
Description: tRNA-Asn
Source: RNAcentral
GGUUUGUAAGCAGAAUGCGUUUGAUUGUUAAUCAAAAGGUUUAAAACCG